Long non-coding RNA from Vespa mandarinia (Asian giant hornet), 1541 nucleotides. RefSeq lists it as uncharacterized. The record is from RefSeq and is a predicted model, not a curated record. NCBI's taxonomy places the organism in Eukaryota, Metazoa, Arthropoda, Insecta, Hymenoptera, Vespidae.
CGUUAAAUUGUAUUAUUUAUAAAAUUGUACAGAUGUGAUCUAGAAAUAAUGAUUUUUGUUAUUUUUUUAGAUUCUUCCAAAACAUCGAUUGAAAAAAGUGGAAACAUGAAAAGAAUAAACGCAUGCACUUUUCUAAAUGAAGACAUAAACAUUUCCUUUUCAUUGAUUGGAACCUCGAUUUGCUGCUUGACCAAGCACGAGUAAGGCUACUACUGAUCAGCAAAAAAAAACAGCCUAGAAUCUUUGAGAGAACACGAUCGAGAGAAAGAGAGAGAGAGAGAGAGAGAGAGAGAGAGAGAGAGAGAGAGAGAAAGAGAGGAGGAGUAACUAGGAAAAGUCGAGGUUCAUGGGCGUGACAAUUGGCCGGAUGUGUUUUCCAUUGUCCAAGUUUUGCGGCCUGUCCUGUGGCAUGGUUUUCUUUUUAUACCGAACCUUCGAUCGAUUUCGUAGGAAACGGCUGGAAAACUUGGACAUUGUUAGAUACGACGUUAAAGGGACUUGUCGGUUUGCUAAAUACCUAGCGAUAACUUUUCUUUGUUGAACGUGUCUGAAAAGAUACACACACACUCAUACGCUGAAGCUUUAGAGGAUCAUGAGACAAUAGGACACAGACACAACGAUGAGCUUCCAUGCAAGCUAUUACCUCACUUCCGCUAACACAAAUCUGCACUUUAGCGGCGUAAAGCUGACACGAUGUUUUUAGCUGAAUCUCCGCCUACCAGAGAACGACUUAUUCAACCCUCUGAUAUAAGCUCGAUAUCGUGAUCGUAUCGUUAGUAAGAAAAUCAGUGUAUAAACAGUAAACGAUUGGAUAGUUGCCAAGAAUCUUCAGAGAAGUACUUCGCAGGAAGGCUCUCGUUGCGUUCACUUACCUUCAGGAGGGAAAUCUUUGGUGGUUCUGAAAGUAGGGGUACAUUUCACCCCUCCUGCUGCCGGUAGCAGCGUUAUCGACCACUGUCGCAAAAGCCACGCCUUUGCCCAGGUGAGAGGACAAGAGAAGUAGAACGUAAAGGGAGGCCGACCCUUCGCUAUCUCUUUCUUUCUCAUUUUCUGAUGACGAUUCUCUCUUCUCAUUCGAGUUUCUUUUACGAUGAAGAAGAUCCGAUGCUUGUACGGUGUAUAAUCGAGCUGGCUAAGGGCAACACCCCAGCCCUUUUUAUCCCAAAAAGCAAAGUACUAUUUCGUUCAAAUAUACUUUCAGCUUGUAUUGUUGCAAAUGUUUGCGUUUAACAGGCUUACCAAACAGGCAACUGCGUUUCGAACUGUAUUGUAUCCAGAUUUUAGUAAACGUCGGCUUAAGGGUGAGAAAGAGUGAAAGAGAGGGAUAUAGCUUCUCGCAGGAGGUGUCCUUUAGAACGGAAUAUUCGAAGGAAAUUGAGCGGCAAAUCAAUGCACGCGCUAACGCCAAACUUCAAUGAAAGUGUUUUCAUGACAAUUUUGGGCUAUAGUAAAUCCUUCGAAGAUAAUCUUCGGGAUUUCGAAUGAAAAAAAUGUCGAACGGGAUGUUUUCUAAUACUAUUAUUAUUGUUAGAGAUUGUUAA